This 244-nucleotide unclassified non-coding RNA is filed under the name plant metagenome. RNAcentral describes it as "partial contains small subunit ribosomal RNA, internal transcribed spacer 1, and 5.8S ribosomal RNA". The record is from RNAcentral.
UCUCCGUUGGUGAACCAGCGGAGGGAUCAUUACCGAGUUUACAACUCCCAAACCCAAUGUGAACCAUACCAUACUGUUGCCUCGGCGGGGUCACGCCCCGGGUGCGUCGCAGCCCCGGAACCAGGCGCCCGCCGGAGGGACCAACCAAACUCUUUCUGUUGUCCCCUCGCGGACGUUAUUUUUACAGCUCUGAGCAAAAAUUCAAAAUGAAUUAAAACUUUCAACAACGGAACUCUUGGUUCUG